AGUGAACGCUGGCGGUAGGCCUAACACAUGCAAGUCGAACGGCAGCACAGUAAGAGCUUGCUCUUACGGGUGGCGAGUGGCGGACGGGUGAGGAAUACAUCGGAAUCUACUUUUUCGUGGGGGAUAACGUAGGGAAACUUACGCUAAUACCGCAUACGACCUACGGGUGAAAGCAGGGGAUCUUCGGACCUUGCGUGAUUGAAUGAGCCGAUGUCGGAUUAGCUAGUUGGCGGGGUAAAGGCCCACCAAGGCGACGAUCCGUAGCUGGUCUGAGAGGAUGAUCAGCCACACUGGAACUGAGACACGGUCCAGACUCCUACGGGAGGCAGCAGUGGGGAAUAUUAGACAAUGGGCGCAAGCCUGAUCCAGCCAUACCGCGUGGGUGAAGAAGGACUUCGGGUUGUAAAGCCCUUUUGUUGGGAGAGAAGAGCAGCAGGUUAAUACCCCGCUGUUCUGACGGUACCCAAAGAAUAAGCACCGGCUAACUUCGUG
Molecule: ribosomal RNA, 492 nt
Filed under: uncultured bacterium
Lineage: Bacteria
Description: partial 16S ribosomal RNA
Rfam family: Bacterial small subunit ribosomal RNA
Source: RNAcentral